GACGAACGCUGGCGGCGUGCUUAACACAUGCAAGUCGAACGGAAAGGCCCUGCUUUUGUGGGGUGCUCGAGUGGCGAACGGGUGAGUAACACGUGAGUAACCUGCCCUUGACUUUGGGAUAACUUCAGGAAACUGGGGCUAAUACCGGAUAGGAGCUCCUGCUGCAUGGUGGGGGUUGGAAAGUUUCGGCGGUUGGGGAUGGACUCGCGGCUUAUCAGCUUGUUGGUGGGGUAGUGGCUUACCAAGGCUUUGACGGGUAGCCGGCCUGAGAGGGUGACCGGCCACGUUGGGACUGAGAUACGGCCCAGACGCCUACGGGACGCAGGAGUGGGGAAUAUUGCACAAAGGGCGCAAGCCUGAUGCAGCAACGCCGCGUGCGAGAUGACGGCCUUCGGGUUGAAAACCGCUUUCGCCUGUGACGAAGCGUGAGUGACGGUAAUGGGUAAAGAAGCACCGGCUAACUACG
This 466-nucleotide ribosomal RNA is filed under the name uncultured bacterium. Its description in RNAcentral is "partial 16S ribosomal RNA". It matches the Rfam family "Bacterial small subunit ribosomal RNA", at positions 28 to 505 of the family's 1533-position model. The record is from RNAcentral.